Long non-coding RNA from Etheostoma spectabile (orangethroat darter), 126 nucleotides. RefSeq lists it as uncharacterized. The transcript is spliced from 3 exons. The record is from RefSeq and is a predicted model, not a curated record. Lineage: Eukaryota; Metazoa; Chordata; Actinopteri; Perciformes; Percidae.
AACUAAAUUUCACUAAGGGGCAGAUUUUAAGUUUAUAAACAUGCUUUCAUUUGAGAAAAAAGUCAAAUAUCUUGACUGUAUUACUCCAUGUCUCAUAUAGUCUUCUCAAAGACCUGAAAAAGGCAG